AUGGGUUAUCAUACUAACGCGUGUGCAUCGUUUAUUCAACUAGAUUAUAACCAGGAAGCCACAAAGGAAAUACCUAAAAUAGCAAUUGAUUGAGUCUUUGUAAUUCUACAAUUACUGCCGGUAUGUUGGGGUUUUGUAUACAAAAUUGUAGUAACGUUACCAUUGGACGACGAGUUAGCCAAUGUGUAAUAUGACCCUCAGUCAGACGUGACACUACUGAAUGAGUAAUUGGGUAGAUAUAAACAUUGUAAUCGCCCUCGAUACUGUGAAAUGAUAAAACCUGUUUUGAUUAAACUGGGAUUCACUCACCAGUAUUUCUUGCUGAUAAAAUGUUUUUAAAACGCGUUUCAGGUAACAAAAUGUGAAAGCCAAUCAGAAUAAAGCCAGCUCGAGAGCACUGACGGCUUGGAAAAAUGUGGCUAUAAAAGUUACCUAAAAGACGAUGUUUUAAAUUCAAUAAAAUAAGGGUUAUCCCUAUAAACAUGUUGUAAUAAGAAUCUUGGGUUUUACCCAUGUGAUUAUGAAAAUAAAAUAUGGUGGUUUUACUCUGAUAAAAUAUUUCCUAACUACGAUCCUGAUGAAAUUUCCGCUGCCAAAAUAAUUAAUAAACACCGAUACCACCGAAACUGGUUCGCGGCCGCCCGUUCCCGGGUAUUAGGGAUCGGGGGUUGUGACAGCACCCUUAACCGUGAACCAGCAGGUGGUUGCUGGAGCCGGUGCUGGAGUUGCUGUUGCCAUUUUGGCCACCCCAACUAAGUUAGUCAAGUGCAGGUCAGUCCAUUUUUUUCAAUAAUUAGUUUCUUUUAAGUCAAUUUUAAAACCAGCGUAGGAGAUGGAGCCGGGUGGCAGUAUAAGAGCCGAAAGGACAUGUUUUGAUGACUUUUGAUUGAAGUUUCAUAGUUUUUCAGACAACCAAUGGCGGAUGUAGCAAAGGACUUAACCGCCGGAACAAUAGGAGGGGCGGCACAGUUGAUAGUUGGACACCCUUUUGAUACCAUCAAGGUCAAACUUCAAAGUCAACCCGUCCCUCCACCGGGUCAGCUCCCUAGAUAUUCUGGUGCAAUAGAUGCCGUUAAACAAACAAUAGCAGCAGAAGGUCCAAG
RNAcentral lists this long non-coding RNA (1103 nucleotides) under Helianthus annuus (common sunflower). Lineage: Eukaryota; Viridiplantae; Streptophyta; Magnoliopsida; Asterales; Asteraceae. The record is from RNAcentral.